RNAcentral lists this ribosomal RNA (235 nucleotides) under uncultured bacterium. RNAcentral describes it as "partial 16S ribosomal RNA". It matches the Rfam family "Bacterial small subunit ribosomal RNA", at positions 118 to 351 of the family's 1533-position model. The record is from RNAcentral.
UGAGCAAUCUGCCCUUCUCUUCGGAAUAAGCGUGGGAAACCGCGUCUAAUGCCGAAUACGACCUCCUUUCGCAUGAUCGGAGGUGGAAAGCUCCGGCGGAGAAGGAUGAGCUCGCGGCCUAUCAGCUAGUUGGUGUGGGUAAUGGCCCACAAGGCGACGACGGGUAGCCGGCCUGAGAGGGUGACCCGGCCACACUGGGACUGAGACACGGCCCAGACCUCCGUACGGGAGGNAG